Molecule: ribosomal RNA, 468 nt
Filed under: uncultured bacterium
Lineage: Bacteria
Description: partial 16S ribosomal RNA
Rfam family: Bacterial small subunit ribosomal RNA
Source: RNAcentral
GACGAACGCUGGCGGCGUGCUUAACACAUGCAAGUCGAACGGACAGGCCCUGCUUUUGUGGGGUGCUCGAGUGGCGAACGGGUGAGUAACACGUGAGUAACCUGCCCUUAACUUUGGGAUAACUUCAGGAAACUGGGGCUAAUAUCGGAUAGGAGCUCCUGCUGCAUGGGGGGGGUUGGAAAGUUUCGGCGGUGGGGGCUGGACUCGCGGCUUAUCCGCUUGUUGGUGGGGUAGUGGUUUACCAAGGCUUUGACGGGUAGCCGGCCUGAGAGGGUGACCGGCCACAUUGCGACUGAGGGACGGCCCAGACUGCUACGGGAGGCAGCAGGGGGGAAUCUUGCACAAUGAGCGGAAGCCUGAGGCGACGACGCCGCGUUCGGGAUGACGGCCUUCGGGUGGUAAACCGCUUUCGCCUGUGACGAAGCGGGAGUGACGGUAAUGGGUAAAGAAGCACCGGCUAACUACGUG